RNAcentral lists this ribosomal RNA (406 nucleotides) under uncultured bacterium. Its description in RNAcentral is "partial 16S ribosomal RNA". It matches the Rfam family "Bacterial small subunit ribosomal RNA", at positions 30 to 526 of the family's 1533-position model. The record is from RNAcentral.
AUUGAACGCUGGCGGCAGGCCUAACACAUGCAAGUCGAACGAGUGGCGGACGGGUGAGUAAUGUCUGGGAAACUGCCUGAUGGAGGGGGAUAACUACUGGAAACGGUAGCUAAUACCGCAUACCAUCAGAUGUGCCCAGAUGGGAUUAGCUUGUUGGUGGGGUAACGGCUCACCAAGGCGACGAUCCCUAGCUGGUCUGAGAGGAUGGCCAGCAACCCGGGAACGGAGACAAGGUCCAGACUCCUACGGGAGGCAGAAGUGGGGAAUAUGGAACAAUGGGCGCAAGCCUGAUGCAGCCAUGCCGCGUGUAUGAAGAAGGCCUUCGGGUUGUAAAGUACUUUCAGCGGGGAGGCGUUACCCGCAGAAGAAGCACCGGCUAACUCCGUGCCAGCAGCCGCGGUAAUUC